Molecule: ribosomal RNA, 441 nt
Filed under: uncultured bacterium
Lineage: Bacteria
Description: partial 16S ribosomal RNA
Rfam family: Bacterial small subunit ribosomal RNA
Source: RNAcentral
CCUACGGGAGGCUGCAGUGGGGAAUAUUGCACAAUGGGGGGAACCCUGAUGCAGCAACGCCGCGUGAAUGAGGAAGUAUUUCGGUAUGUAAAGCUCUAUCAGCAGGGAAUAGAAAAGAAGGUACCUGAAAAAGAAGCCCCGGCAAACUACGUGCCAGCAGGCGCGGUAAUACGUAGGGGGUAAGCGUUAUCCGGAUUUACUGGGUGUAAAGGGAGCGUAGACGGAAAGGUAAGUCAGAAGUGAAAGUCCAAGGCUCAACCAUGGGACUGCUUUUGAAACUGUCAAACUAGAGUACGGGAGAGGUAUGCGGAAUUCGUGGUGUAGCGGUGAAAUGCGUAGAUAUCACGAAGAACUCCGAUGGCGAAGGCAGCAUACCGGACCGCAACUGACGCUGAGGCUCGAAAGCGUGGGUAUCAAACAGGAUUAGAUACCCUGGUAGUC